AAACCGCUUAGGGGUUAAGCCCGAUGAACCUGAAUAUCUGAAUUGAGAAAUUCAAUAUUAUGUUAUUGGUAUUUUUAAUUUAUACCUUUAACUAGUAUGCACUUUUCUCAUAGUAAGACAUUGCGAUCCAUUAGAAAAUUUAUGAAACGGCUUGUAUGUAUUGUUUAUUCUAUCUGUAAUAAUUCUUAUGAAUUGUUAUAUGAAUAAAUGCAUUAUGCAAUGUCCUGAUAAAUAGCUGAUGGAGCUUAAAAAUCAUACAACCAUACAUGCUAUGUAUCACAGUAUGAAGAUUUCUUUCUUUAUAUGUAGUGAUUGUAUGUAUUUGAUUAGCAAUGCGAUAGAUUUGGGAUACCUUCGGGACCCGUCUUGAAACACGGACCAAGAAGUCUAACAUGUGUGCGAGUCAUUGGGUAUAUAAUAAUUUUUUUAAAAUUGUUAUGUUUUGUUGAAACCUAAAGGCGAAAUUAAAAUAACUAUUUUAAUGGGAUUACAAGUAAUUUGAAAAGAUUACUUCUCCAUCCCGGGGCGUUCUAUAUGAACAUGAUUUAAGCAAUUAGAUCCUCUGUUCAAGAGCGUACCUUGAGCAUACAUGCUGUGACCCGAAAGA
This 607-nucleotide ribosomal RNA is filed under the name unidentified. RNAcentral's name for it is "Xenokeroplatus sp. 1 NB-2020 partial 28S ribosomal RNA". It matches the Rfam family "Eukaryotic large subunit ribosomal RNA", at positions 402 to 823 of the family's 3401-position model. The record is from RNAcentral.